CAUCAUUUCAGAAUCAGAAUCAAAGAAAUUAUCAUCUAGAUUAAGAGCAGACCAAAGCAUAGUUUUUUCAGUGUUCUUCAGACCAACGCAAAGUUUUUUCACAGGCAAGUCAGUACAAGCAACUCAAAGCAACAAGUUCAAAUUGUGUGUUGUGCUCAAUGGUGUGAGUAUAGAAAGCAUAUUAAAUAGUCUAGUUUUUUCUCAUGAGGAGGGCACAGUCUGUAUUCCUUCUGCAGGCUGAGGCUCAGCUAAUCCUACUCUCAUCUGAAAUAUAUGGAUCAACAGUCUGCACAACAAGAAGUAAAUUUAGUAUAUCAAAUCCUCUAUAUCCUAAUAAGAUUGCUCAUUUGCUGCAACAGUAGUGAGUGGCAAAAGGUAGAAUGUAACCUGCAGAAUAUGUUAGUGGCCACUCUCCGAUGAACCCUCCUUCCAACACAGCUCUGUUAUCUAUCAAAAUAGUUACCAGGUAGUUAAAUUGAUGAAAUAGAUAACCAACACAACUCCGUUAUCAAAAUACUUUGCCACACGGUAACAAUAUACAUGAAGUAAUUACACACAAAGAUAAGAUCUUGUGAACAGAUCCAAAACAACUUUACAAUCACAUUAUGAACUUAUGAACUUUCUAUAAUCACAUUAUAGAUCAGGCACUCCUAAUUCAAAACCCUGUAAUUUCUAAACUUUGUACUUAAUUCAUAAACUUUCUAUAAAUCCAUUUUGGAAUAUACUCCAAAAUCCAAAAUUAUUAUUCAGCUUGCUGUGCGAAUACCAGGAACUAAAAAAGGAAACAAAAUUGAAAUGUUCUUAAACAAAAUGAGAGAGCUGAUCCAUUGUGCAAGAUUUGGUUUGUUUGGAAGGGACAGCUGAUCUGCACCAGGUAAAGUCUGAGUUGUUGUAGCUUCUGGAUUUCCGGUGGACAAUGAACAAUGGGGGGUCACAAAUUUCUGAUCGGCUUCCCUAUGACAGGGGUGUGGAAGAGGAGGUUGCACCAUCAGCUACACCUUUUGUCCCUGAUGAUCUUGAUCACCAAGCUCUGUAAUUAGUAGUGCCUCACAAGAAAGAGGUGUGGCAGAGUGUUUAAUGGGAUCUCACUGAUUCUGAUGAUCAUGCCAAGCUUAUAUUUUUGUGUUUUUCUUUUUCUUCCCACUACUGUUGUGAAGGACGAAGCUAAGUCGGAGCUGGGGUUAUACGAUGAGCUGAAAGAGGCAUGCAUAGCAGGUGAGAACCUGAUGAACCUGAGCUAACAGAAAUGCAAGUCCGUGCCAUCUUUGAAGCUGCUAUAGCGAUGACCAACCAAGGCGUUCAAGUCUUUCCAGAGAUAAUGGUUCCUCUUGUUGGAACACCGCAGACAUGCAUCUUUUUUUUUUGUAACCUAAACCCUAAAAUACACAAUAACAAGAAAGACUGCAGGCAGGCAUUCCUUUAGACAACUGACACUUGGUAUUUGCAGGAAUUGGGACAUCAGGUGGCCCUUAUCCGUCAAGUCGCUAACAAAGUUUUCACCAGUAUGGGUAAAACUAUUGGGUACAAGAUCGGAAUGAUGAUUGAGAUUCCCAGGGCAGCUCUAGUGGCCGACGAGGUAGGAAACAAAAAACAACUAGCUCCGAAAACUCAAAACACGACUGUUUUAGACAGACUUUGUAGAUCGACGCCAUCAGAGGCUGGCUGGACGGAGGGAACAGCGCCUCCCCCGUGAUCGGCCAGCCGCUCGCGCACCGGGAGCUGGCACCGAAUAUCGCUGGGAUUGGAUCUAAGAACUUGCCGCCGCCUGAGCUAUUGGAUCUAAUAAGAGACGCAAGAACCCUAAACGCCCUAGUUGAGACAGGGAGCAAGAAGAAUACCGGUGAGAAGCAGACUCCGAAGGAGAUCGACGCCAGCAGGCGUGAGGAAUCCGGUCUCCGUGCCACCGUUGCAGCGCGCAUGCGGCGUGCCCUUCAUGCCUGUUGCCCUAGUCCAUGCUGGUCGGUGAGAAGCGACCUAUUGGCUGCGUGCGUCCGGGAUAUUUCC
RNAcentral lists this long non-coding RNA (2004 nucleotides) under Zea mays. Its description in RNAcentral is "long non-coding RNA (ZMAY_LNC005534)". The record is from RNAcentral. Lineage: Eukaryota; Viridiplantae; Streptophyta; Magnoliopsida; Poales; Poaceae.